RNAcentral lists this unclassified non-coding RNA (240 nucleotides) under rhizosphere metagenome. RNAcentral's name for it is "partial ribosomal RNA internal transcribed spacer region". The record is from RNAcentral.
GUAGGUGAACCUGCGGAAGGAUCAUUAAAAGGUAUCUACCCUCCCUUGGUUGUAAAAAGCCAGAGAGGUGUAGUCCAGAUCAACCACUGUGCGCACGUAUUGAAGUUUUUUUUGCUUUUGGUAGGCGUCGUUGAACGAUUCUACCAUAAGUGAAGCCCAAAUCAAUAUAAGCCUUUUUUUGUGACUGAAAUUUUUUUUAAAUAAAAAAUACAACUUUCAACAACGGAUCUCUUGGCUCUC